Molecule: long non-coding RNA, 349 nt
Organism: Magallana angulata
Lineage: Eukaryota; Metazoa; Mollusca; Bivalvia; Ostreida; Ostreidae
Exons: 4
Source: RefSeq, a predicted model, not a curated record
GAGGGAGGUUGGCAGUAUUUUUGAAGCUGUUGCAAAUGAGACUUGUAAUGAAGCCCUUGCCGAGGAGAAAAAAAGAUCACAAGAUGCCGAAAAAUUUUCUGUGUCCUUUGAUGCUGGAUGGCAGACUAGAGGUAGCGGUCGAAACUAUGCAAGUUUGUCAGGGCAUGCGAGUAUGAUUGGAGAGAAGACAGGAAAAAUUCUUUCAUAUGCUGUUCAGUGCAAGAAAUGCAGAUUCUGUGAUAAAGCACCAGUAUCAGCAGAAGUGAAUAAACAUGAUUGUAGAAGAAAUUGGGAAAAAUCCUCAAAGGCAAUGGAACCAGAUAUGGCUUUAGAAAUGUUGCAUGACUUA